This 502-nucleotide ribosomal RNA is filed under the name uncultured Sphingobacteriales bacterium. RNAcentral's name for it is "bacterial SSU rRNA". It matches the Rfam family "Bacterial small subunit ribosomal RNA", at positions 903 to 1382 of the family's 1533-position model. The record is from RNAcentral. Lineage: Bacteria; Pseudomonadati; Bacteroidota; Sphingobacteriia; Sphingobacteriales.
CGUCCAGCCCGCUCAGAAACUCAAAUGAAUUGACGGGGGCCCGGCACAAGCGGAGGAGCAUGUGGUUUAAUUCGAUGAUACGCGAGGAACCUUACCUGGGCUCGAACGUAAGAUGACUGUAGGUGAAAGCUUACAUCUCUUCGGAGCAUUUUACGAGGUGCUGCAUGGUUGUCGUCAGCUCGUGCCGUGAGGUGUCGGGUUAAGUCCCAUAACGAGCGCAACCCCUACCUUUAGUUGCCAUCAGGUUAAGCUGGGGACUCUAAAGGAACUGCCUACGCAAGUAGUGAGGAAGGCGGGGAUGACGUCAAAUCAGCACGGCCCUUACGUCCAGGGCUACACACGUGCUACAAUGGCCGAUACAGAGGGCAGCUACCUGGUGACAGGAUGCAAAUCUCCAAAGUCGGUCUCAGUUCGGAUCGGAGUCUGCAACCCGACUCCGUGAAGUUGGAUUCGCUAGUAAUCGCGCAUCAGCCAUGGCGCGGUGAAUACGUUCCCGGGCCUU